Molecule: unclassified non-coding RNA, 153 nt
Filed under: uncultured Xylariales
Lineage: Eukaryota; Fungi; Ascomycota; Sordariomycetes; Xylariales
Description: sequence contains ITS1
Source: RNAcentral
CAGAGUUGCAAAACUCCCAAACCCACUGUGAAUUUACCUGUCCUUGUUCCUUCGGCAGGCGGCCCCCGGGGGGGCUUCGCCGCAAGGCGCCUGCCGAGGGACAACCCUAACUCUUGUUAUCUCAGUGUUCUCUGAGCAACUAUAAAAAAGUUA